UCGCAGGAGAGAUGGCACUGUCU
RNAcentral lists this microRNA (23 nucleotides) under Prunus persica (peach). RNAcentral describes it as "microRNA miRNA_323". Lineage: Eukaryota; Viridiplantae; Streptophyta; Magnoliopsida; Rosales; Rosaceae. The record is from RNAcentral.